UGAGCUGUUGGCAGUCGCAGAUACCAGGCUGCUGCAACUGUUUAUUAAAAACACAGCACUCUGCAAACACGAAAGUGGACGUAUAGGGUGUGAUGUCUGCCCGGUGCUGGAAGGUUAAUUGAUGGGGUUAGCGUAUGCGAAGCUCUUGAUCGAAGCCCCAGUAAACGGCGGCCGUAACAAUAACGGUCCUAAGGUAGCGAAAUUCCUUGUCGGGUAAGUUCCGACCUGCACGAAUGGCGUAACGACUUCCCUGCUGUCUCAACCACAGGCCCGGUGAAAUUGCAGUACGAGUAAAGAUGCUCGUUACGCGCGGCAGGACGAAAAGACCCCGGGACCUUCACUAUAGCUUGGUAUUGGUGUUUGAUUCGGUUUGUGUAGGAUAGGUGGGAGACGUUGAUGCGGCCACGCUAGUGGUGGUGGAGUCGUUGGUGAAAUACCACUCUGAUUGUUCUGGUUAUCUCACUGUGGACCGUGAUCCGGUUCAAGGACAGUGCCUGAUGGGUAGUUUGACUGGGGCGGU
RNAcentral lists this ribosomal RNA (520 nucleotides) under Thalassiosira gravida. RNAcentral describes it as "partial Bacterial large subunit ribosomal RNA". It matches the Rfam family "Bacterial large subunit ribosomal RNA", at positions 1763 to 2283 of the family's 2925-position model. The record is from RNAcentral. Lineage: Eukaryota; Bacillariophyta; Thalassiosirophyceae; Thalassiosirales; Thalassiosiraceae.